GGAGAUGUAGCUCACUGGGAGAGCACAUGCCUAUAACAUGCAAGGCCCUAGGUUCAAUCCCCAGCACUGCCA
Molecule: transfer RNA, 72 nt
Filed under: Ictidomys tridecemlineatus (thirteen-lined ground squirrel)
Lineage: Eukaryota; Metazoa; Chordata; Mammalia; Rodentia; Sciuridae
Description: Spermophilus tridecemlineatus (thirteen-lined ground squirrel) tRNA
Rfam family: tRNA
About the family: Transfer RNA (tRNA) molecules are approximately 80 nucleotides in length.
Source: Rfam by way of RNAcentral